Molecule: ribosomal RNA, 314 nt
Filed under: uncultured archaeon
Lineage: Archaea
Description: bacterial SSU rRNA
Rfam family: Archaeal small subunit ribosomal RNA
Source: RNAcentral
UUUAGUCAGGCAACAAGCGAGACCCAUGUGUUUAGUUGCUAACUUCUUCUCCGGAAGAGGUGUACUCUAAACAGACUGCCCGUGCUAAAUGGGAGGAAGGAGUGGGCGACGGUAGGUCAGUAUGGUCCGAAACUUCUGGGCUACACGCGGCAUACAGUGGAUAGAACAAUGGGCUGCGACCUCGAAAGGGGAAGCCAAUCCUCUAAAUCUAUCCGUGGUUCGGAUUGAGGGUUGCAACUCACCCUCAUGAAGAUGGAAUGGCUAGUAAUCGCGUGUCACUAUCACGCGGUGAAUGUGUCCCUGCUCCUUGCACA